UACGUAGGGUGCGAGCGUUAAUCGGAAUUACUGGGCGUAAAGUGUGCGCAGGUGGCUUCGCAAGUCGAGUGUGAAAUCCCCGGGCUUAACCUGGGAAUUGCGCUCGAAACUACGGAGCUGGAGUAUGGCAGAGGGGGGUGGAAUUCCACGUGUAGCGGUGAAAUGCGUAGAGAUGUGGAGGAACACCAAUGGCGAAGGCAGCCUCCUGGGCCAAUACUGACACUCAUGCACGAAAGCGUGGGGAGCAAACAGG
This 253-nucleotide ribosomal RNA is filed under the name uncultured bacterium. Its description in RNAcentral is "partial 16S ribosomal RNA". It matches the Rfam family "Bacterial small subunit ribosomal RNA", at positions 524 to 776 of the family's 1533-position model. The record is from RNAcentral.